Molecule: ribosomal RNA, 441 nt
Filed under: uncultured bacterium
Lineage: Bacteria
Description: partial 16S ribosomal RNA
Rfam family: Bacterial small subunit ribosomal RNA
Source: RNAcentral
CCUACGGGUGGCAGCAGUGGGGGAUAUUGCACAAUGGGGGGAACCCUGAUGCAGCGACGCCGCGUGGGUGAAGGAGUGCUUCGGCAUGUAAAGCCCUAUCGGCAGGGAAGAAGCAAGACGGUACCUGACUAAGAAGCCCCGGCUAACUACGUGCGAGCAGCCGCGGUAAUACGUAGGGGGCAAGCGUUAUCCGGAUUUACUGGGUGUAAAGGGGGCGCAGACGGCAGCGCAAGCCAGGAGUGAAAGCCCGGGGCCCGACCCCGGGACUGCUCUUGGAACUGCGCGGCUGGAGUGCAGGAGGGGCAGGCGGAAUUCCUGGUGUAGCGGUGAAAUGCGUAGAUAUCAGGAGGAACACCGGUGGCGAAGGCGGCCUGCUGGACUGCGACUGACGUUGAGGCCCGAAAGCGUGGGGAGCAAACAGGAUUAGAUACCCCUGUAGUC